AUUGAACGCUGGCGGCAGGCCUAACACAUGCAAGUCGAACGGUAACAGGAAGCAGCUUGCUGCUUCGCUGACGAGUGGCGGACGGGUGAGUAAUGUCUGGGAAGCUGCCUGAUGGAGGGGGAUAACUACUGGAAACGGUAGCUAAUACCGCAUAAUGUCGCAAGACCAAAGAGGGGGACCUUCGGUCCUCUUGCCAUCGGAUUUGCCCAGAUGGGAUUAGCUUGUUGGUGGGGUAACGGCUCACCAAGGCGACGAUCCCUAGCUGGUCUGAGAGGAUGACCAGACCCACUGGAACUGAGAAACGGUCCAGAGUCCUACGGGAGGCAGCAGUGGGGAAUAUUGCACUAUGGGCGCAAGCCCGAUGCAGCCAUGCCGCGUGUAUGAAGAAGGCCUUCGGGUUGUAAAGUACUUUCAGCGGGGAGGAAGGGAGUAAAGUUAAUACCUUUGCUCAUUGACGUUACCCGCAGAAGAAGCACCGGCUAACUCCGUG
This 490-nucleotide ribosomal RNA is filed under the name uncultured bacterium. RNAcentral's name for it is "partial 16S ribosomal RNA". It matches the Rfam family "Bacterial small subunit ribosomal RNA", at positions 30 to 507 of the family's 1533-position model. The record is from RNAcentral.